AUUGAACGCUGGCGGAAUGCUUUACACAUGCAAGUCGAACGGCAGCACAGGUGCUUGCACCUGAUGGCGAGUGGCGAACGGGUGAGUAAUACAUCGGAACGUGCCCAAUCGUGGGGGAUAACGUAGCGAAAGUUACGCUAAUACCGCAUACGAUCUAAGGAUGAAAGCGGGGGACCGUAAGGCCUCGCGCGAUUGGAGCGGCCGAUGUCAGAUUAGGUAGUUGGUGAGGUAAAGGCUCACCAAGCCGACGAUCUGUAGCUGGUCUGAGAGGGCGACCAGCCACACUGGGACUGAGACACGGACCAGACUCCUACGGGAGGCAGCAGUGGGGAAUUUUGGACAAUGGACGCAAGUCUGAUCCAGCCAUUCCGCGUGCAGGACGAAGGCCUUCGGGUUGUAAACUGCUUUUGUACGGAACGAAAAAGCUCUUACUAAUACUAGGAGUCCAUGACGGUACCGUAAGAAUAAGCACCGGCUAACUACGUGCCAGCCGCCGCCGUAA
Molecule: ribosomal RNA, 502 nt
Filed under: uncultured bacterium
Lineage: Bacteria
Description: partial 16S ribosomal RNA
Rfam family: Bacterial small subunit ribosomal RNA
Source: RNAcentral